CCUACGGGAGGCAGCAGUGAGGAAUAUUGGUCAAUGGGCGCGAGCCUGAACCAGCCAAGUAGCGUGAAGGAUGACUGCCCUACGGGUUGUAAACUUCUUUUAUAAAGGAAUAAAGUGAGGCACGUGUGCCUUUUUGUAUGUACUUUAUGAAUACGGAUCGGCUAACUCCGUGAUAGCAGCCGCGGUAAUACGGAGGAUCCGAGCGUUAUCCGGAAUUAUUGGGUUUAAAGGGAGCGUAGAUGGGUUGUUAAGUCAGUUGUGAAAGUUUGCGGCUCAACCGUAAAAUUGCAAUUGAUACUGGCAGCCUUGAGUACAGUAGAGGUAGGCGGAAUUCGUGGUGUAGCGGUGAAAUGCUUAGAUAUCACGAAGAACACCGAUUGCGAAGGCAGCCUACUAAGCUGCCACUGACAUUGAUGCUCGAAAGUGUGGGUAUCAAACAGGAUUAGAUACCCGAGUAGUC
This 460-nucleotide ribosomal RNA is filed under the name uncultured bacterium. RNAcentral's name for it is "partial 16S ribosomal RNA". It matches the Rfam family "Bacterial small subunit ribosomal RNA", at positions 338 to 795 of the family's 1533-position model. The record is from RNAcentral.